UACAGAGGGGGCAAGCGUUAUUCGGAAUUAUUGGGCGUAAAGGGCGCGUAGGCGGCUUGGCAAGUGGAAGGUGAAAUCCCUCGGCUUAACCGAGGAACUGCCCUCCAAACUGCUUCGCUUGAGACCGGGAGAGGUGAGUGGAAUUCCCAGUGUAGCGGUGAAAUGCGUAGAUAUUGGGAGGAACACCAGUGGCGAAGGCGGCUACCUGGACCGGUUCUGACGCUGAUGCGCGAAAGCGUGGGGAGCAAACGGG
RNAcentral lists this ribosomal RNA (253 nucleotides) under uncultured bacterium. RNAcentral's name for it is "partial 16S ribosomal RNA". It matches the Rfam family "Bacterial small subunit ribosomal RNA", at positions 524 to 776 of the family's 1533-position model. The record is from RNAcentral.